UGACAGAGCCAGUGCAUUUAAGAAGUGGGC
Molecule: non-coding RNA, 30 nt
Filed under: Mus musculus (house mouse)
Lineage: Eukaryota; Metazoa; Chordata; Mammalia; Rodentia; Muridae
Source: RNAcentral